CUGUAUUUUCAGGUUUUCCGA
RNAcentral lists this non-coding RNA (21 nucleotides) under Arabidopsis thaliana (thale cress). Lineage: Eukaryota; Viridiplantae; Streptophyta; Magnoliopsida; Brassicales; Brassicaceae. The record is from RNAcentral.